RNAcentral lists this ribosomal RNA (253 nucleotides) under uncultured bacterium. RNAcentral's name for it is "partial 16S ribosomal RNA". It matches the Rfam family "Bacterial small subunit ribosomal RNA", at positions 524 to 776 of the family's 1533-position model. The record is from RNAcentral.
GACAGAGGUGCCGAGCGUUAGGCGGAAUCACUGGGCUUAAAGCGUGUGUAGGCGGACUUCUAAGUACCUUGUGAAAUCCCACGGCUUAGCCGUGGAACUGCUUGGUAUACUGGUUGUCUUGGGCCAUCUAGGGGCUACUGGAACAAACGGUGGAGCGGUGAAAUGCGUAGAUAUCGUUUGGAACGCCAAUGGUGAAAACAAGUAGCUGGGGAUGUGCCGACGCUGAGACACGAAAGCCAGGGGAGCGAACGGG